UUCUUUUUUUUUUUCUUUUCUUUUAAGUUGAGGGCUAUUGAAUUGGAAUUUGUUGAUGGGAUAUGAAUUUGACCCUUCUGGUUUUUAAUUUUCUUGGAAAGUUAAGAUUCCAUGUUGAUAGAUAAGGAUAUAGAGUUCGCAAUUUCUAGUUGUUUACUGAUUGUGAAUUUUUCUAUGCAUGCAUUCUGGCUUUCUAAGUUGAUGUUACAUGCCAAUAGUGGAGUACAAUUUGAGCAACUAGAUUUGUAAUGGGCUUAUAGGGAAUUUCUCUGUGACAUUAUCAGUAUGGGAAAUUACUUACUUGCUCAAUUUUCGACAGGACUAUUAGGCAAAUAGAGUUCCUUUCAUUUGAGUCUUAUAACUUCCAUAUGGGUUGGGCACUUUUCUUUUUAGGAUGUGAUUUAACUUUAUAUCAUAUUUUUAUCCUAUAUUGGGAACAUGUAAAUGGGUAUCUUUUUCUUCGGACAGUGUACAUGAGCUUAGCUUUUGAAAUAUCGUGUUCAUUUAUUGUCAUGUAUUAAAACUUAGAUAUUGGUUUUAGGAAGUUGAUCAAGAGUUCCAAUGUUGGAAAUUAUAAUCCAGGA
This 584-nucleotide unclassified non-coding RNA is filed under the name Hevea brasiliensis (rubber tree). The record is from RNAcentral. Lineage: Eukaryota; Viridiplantae; Streptophyta; Magnoliopsida; Malpighiales; Euphorbiaceae.